RNAcentral lists this ribosomal RNA (97 nucleotides) under Polymyxa betae. The record is from RNAcentral. Lineage: Eukaryota; Endomyxa; Phytomyxea; Plasmodiophorida; Plasmodiophoridae.
GGUUAGGUUCAUACCAGACCGAGCGAAGCCAAGCGGUCUUGGGCCGGCUUAGUACUGGCGUGGGGGACCAGCUGGGAACCGCAUGGCGAUCUAACCU